GUUAUAAUUCUAGCCACCAAUCUAAACCAACAUCCCCUAAUAAAUACCGAAAUAAAUCAUUUUAUAAUGGAAGUAUAGGCGAAAGAAACCAUCACUUGAGCAAUAGAAAUAGUACUGCAAAGGAA
This 125-nucleotide ribosomal RNA is filed under the name Lyciasalamandra luschani (Lycian salamander). Its description in RNAcentral is "partial 16S ribosomal RNA". Lineage: Eukaryota; Metazoa; Chordata; Amphibia; Caudata; Salamandridae. The record is from RNAcentral.